RNAcentral lists this ribosomal RNA (717 nucleotides) under uncultured bacterium. Its description in RNAcentral is "bacterial SSU rRNA". It matches the Rfam family "Bacterial small subunit ribosomal RNA", at positions 94 to 820 of the family's 1533-position model. The record is from RNAcentral.
AGCGGCGAAAGGGAGAGUAACGCGUGGAUCAUCUACCCUCAGGACCGGGAUAGCCGGGGGAAACCCCGGGUAAUACCGGAUAAUGUCUCCGGACCAAAGGUGUGAGUCCGCCUGGGGAUGAGUCCGCGUCCUACUAGCUAGUUGGUGAGGUAAUGGCCCACCAAGGCUAAGAUGGGUACGGGGUGUGAGAGCACGACCCCGCUCACUGGGACUGAGACACUGCCCAGACACCUACGGGUGGCUGCAGUCGAGAAUCUUCGGCAAUGGGCGCAAGCCUGACCGAGCGACGCCGCGUGUGGGAUGAAGGCCUUCGGGUUGUAAACCACUGUCGGAGGGGAGGAAAUUCUCAGGGGUUCACCCCUGAGAUUGACCUAGCCUCAAAGGAAGGACGGGCUAAGUUCGUGCCAGCAGCCGCGGUAAGACGAACCGUCCGAACGUUAUUCGGAAUUACUGGGCUUAAAGGGUGCGUAGGCGGCUCUGAAAGUUGGGUGUGAAAUCCCUCGGCUCAACCGAGGAAUUGCGCCCAAAACUACAGAGCUUGAGGGAGACAGAGGUGAGCGGAACUUGCGGUGGAGCGGUGAAAUGCGUUGAUAUCGCAAGGAACACCAGGGGCGAAAGCGGCUCACUGGGUCUCUUCUGACGCUGAGGCACGAAAGCUAGGGGAGCGAACGGGAUUAGAUACCCCGGUAGUCCUAGCCGUAAACGCUGAGCACUAGA